GACGAACGCUGGCGGCGUGCUUAACACAUGCAAGUCGAACGGAAAGGCCCUGCUUUUGUGGGGUGCUCGAGUGGCGAACGGGUGAGUAACACGUGAGUAACCUGCCCUUGACUUUGGGAUAACUUCAGGAAACUGGGGCUAAUACCGGAUAGGAGCUCCCGCUGCAUGGUGGGGGUUGGAAAGUUUCGGCGGUUGGGGAUGGACUCGCGGCUUAUCAGCUUGUUGGUGGGGUAGUGGCUUACCAAGGCUUUGACGGGUAGCCGGCCUGAGAGGGUGACCGGCCACAUUGGGACUGAGAUACGGCCCAGACUCCUACGGGAGGCAGCAGUGGGGAAUAUUGCACAAUGGGCGGAAGCCUGAUGCAGCAACGCCGCGUGUGGGAUGACGGCCUUCGGGUUGUAAACCGCUUUCGCCUGUGACGAAGCGUGAGUGACGGUAAUGGGUAAAGAAGCACCGGCUAACUACGUG
Molecule: ribosomal RNA, 468 nt
Filed under: uncultured bacterium
Lineage: Bacteria
Description: partial 16S ribosomal RNA
Rfam family: Bacterial small subunit ribosomal RNA
Source: RNAcentral